This 245-nucleotide ribosomal RNA is filed under the name uncultured bacterium. RNAcentral describes it as "partial 16S ribosomal RNA". It matches the Rfam family "Bacterial small subunit ribosomal RNA", at positions 109 to 354 of the family's 1533-position model. The record is from RNAcentral.
AGUAACACGUGAGCAACCUGCCUUUCAGUGGGGGACAACAGUUGGAAACGACUGCUAAUGCCGCAUAACGUGCCGGAAGGGCAUCCUUUUGGUACCAAAGAUUUAUCGCUGAAAGAUGGGCUCGCGUCUGAUUAGAUAGUUGGUGAGGUAACGGCCCACCAAGUCGACGAUCAGUAGCCGGACUGAGAGGUUGAUCGGCCACAUUGGGACUGAGACACGGCCCAGACUCCUACGGGAGGCAGCAG